CUGCGCCCUGCUCCUGCAGCUCGACCCCGCGCUGGCGGCCGCCCGCGACGCUCGGGGACGGCGGCCCUGCGACACGGCGGACCCCGCGCUCCGGGACCUGCUGGAUGGCUGAGGGGGGAGCGGUGAGGCCGGUGUGGAAUUUGGGGUGGGGGGCGACCCGCAGGGCUCUGUCCCUGCUGGAAAAAAAGAACAAAACCAGGUCCUGGCACCAAAACCCGGCUCUGCCUCUCUGUCCCCUGCGCAUGGUGCGGACGUGGUGGUGGCGGCGCACGGAGAGCGUCGGAGGGGACACGGCCCCGUCCCAAUCCACCCCCCCGGGGACCUGCAGGGCGCUAUGGAACGGGCAGGGGGGGGCACCUCCUUUUGUCCUCCUUUGGGACAGGCGAGUACCCUUGUCGCUGCCCCUCCGGCGACCUUUUAUCGCCUCCAAAACCAAAACACUGGGACAAAAAAAAACAAAACCGCUUCCGUGUCCCCGUCCCAGCCCAGCUGGCUUUGGGACGGAUCCGGCUGCGGGUGCCCACCCGCGUCAGGGUGCUCCGAGGAGCUGCAGGUCCUGCGGUUGCAGCUCGUGGUGGAUGGAGAGCCAGGAUUCGCCAAAAGGCAGCUUCGCACCCCAAAAAAAAGCUAGCAUCUCCCCGCAGAAGAACCUAGGACCUGAUAGUCGCGACACGAUUAACAAAAAUAAUUAACCUUCUCCCAAUAACUUACAGCGGUCACCCAGGGGACUUGUGCUUUUUGGGGGGGGUGGGGAGGGAGCCCCGGCAGCGACGGGGGGGUCCCGGCUGGCGAUUUCGGAGAAACUCCUUGGGAGGAGGCGGAGGGGAGCCCCCCGCCCGUACUUUGGUCACUAGCUGUGUGCCGGAUCCUGCCCCCCCGAGCCCCCCGCCCCGGGGCCGCGGCACUCCCUGAGUCACCCCCCGCCCCGUUCUGCCUCCGUUUUAUUGAUGUUUUAUUUUUUUUGGGGGGGUCUCCCGGCUGUCCUCAGCGCCCUCGAAGGAGGAGGCCCGAAAACACCCCCGGGGAGGCCAUGGGGGGGGCCCGGCCCGCGGGACCUGAAGCUCCCUGAGCUGCAUGCGAACGAACGUCCGCCCGGCCGCGGGGCCUCCGGCCUCCACCGCGCUGAAACCACGGAAUCAGUCUCCAAAAAGCAGCAGCAGCAAAACCGGGCUCCCUUUCGG
Molecule: long non-coding RNA, 1181 nt
Filed under: Anas platyrhynchos platyrhynchos (common mallard)
Lineage: Eukaryota; Metazoa; Chordata; Aves; Anseriformes; Anatidae
Description: lncRNA (ENSAPLG00000024931.1)
Source: RNAcentral